AGUUGAUUAAGACACAAACGGUCAAGGGCUACAGGAAAAUGUGUAAGACCAUUGUUGCCACAUUAGUGGGUUUUUUUUUUUCUGUAUCUGGGGUAAUGGAGGAGAUAAAGGGAGAAUCCCUACCCAGCAGGUCUGUUGAUUCUUGACAUUCAUGUGUUUCUUUCACAUAUGAUCAGAAUGUGAUCCAUCUCUCACAUUGUCAGCACAGACGCUAGAAGUGCUCUGUGAUGCGGAGUGCUUGGGGACCAUAUCAUCAACCAUUCAAAAGGGACCUGUGGAAGAAUUAAGACUGUGCCUACCUACUUGUGCACAUCACCAGUUGGGAAAGGCACCAAAAAGGAGAUCCACCAAUAAGCCAGUCUCGAAAGAAAUCUGUCCUAAGCGAAGCGUCGGCAGUUGCAGAAGCCCAAAGGGAAACAAGUGGAGAUUGUCAUUGCUUAGGGACAUGCAUGCAGACUGUCAGAGGCGUACACAAAGGCAGCAUUGCCAGUACUACUCUCAUAUAUUGAAAUGGGAUAAUUGCAUGAGAAGAUCAUUGGUCUCUUUCAGCACUUUUCUAUUCAUGCUUUACAUGUAAGUAAUCAGCCUUGAGAGAUUUUGCUGAAGAAUUAUGUAAGUAGUGUAUCUAUUGUAGAAUUAUAA
This is a long non-coding RNA of Ochotona curzoniae (black-lipped pika), 642 nucleotides long. RefSeq lists it as uncharacterized. Lineage: Eukaryota; Metazoa; Chordata; Mammalia; Lagomorpha; Ochotonidae. The transcript has 2 exons. The record is from RefSeq and is a predicted model, not a curated record.